AAUUACUGGGCGUAAAGCGCACGCAGGCGGUCUGUUAAGUCAGAUGUGAAAUCCCCGGGCUUAACCUGGGAACUGCAUUUGAAACUGGCAGGCUAGAGUCUCGUAGAGGGGGGUAGAAUUCCAGGUGUAGCGGUGAAAUGCGUAGAGAUCUGGAGGAAUACCGGUGGCGAAGGCGGCCCCCUGGACGAAGACUGACGCUCAGGUGCGAAAGCGUGGGGAGCAAACAGGAUUA
This 232-nucleotide ribosomal RNA is filed under the name bacterium. RNAcentral's name for it is "partial 16S ribosomal RNA". It matches the Rfam family "Bacterial small subunit ribosomal RNA", at positions 549 to 780 of the family's 1533-position model. The record is from RNAcentral.